UUAAUUUCUACUAAUUUUAUCUACCCUGCCCCUGCCCCUACCCCUACCUAAUCUUACCCCUAUACUGGCACACCCACGUGCGCCCUCCAUUUGGUCAACAAAAAAACAAAUACUACAGUCACUCACAGAAGACACAGAUUACACACAUUACAUUAUCUACACAAGAUAACACUACACAGGGGGAUUCUCGGCACAAUUUUUGUCCACCAAACACACUGCCAUAAACACCUUCACAUAUUCACACACAUCUCCAUCUCCAUCUCCAUUCUUUUCAUGGAUUAGCAACAACCCAAUUCACAGACACAACCUCACUUUCACAGUCAUAGACAUACGACACACGGGAAAAUAAAAAAGAGGGUGAAGGACGAGAUUGAGGGAAGAGAAUAACAUGAGAGAGGAAAGGACAAAGAGAAUCGAGUGAAUGGGGUUGAAUGGAGAGAGAGAGGAGAUCGAGAGAUUUGAGGAGAGAGAGAUUGAGAUCCAGGGAGAUGAACGGAGAAGGGGUAACAGAAUAAAUCCGGCGUUUUGACUGUUUUUCUAGCGAACCUUUUCGCCAGAAUUGGUUUACAGUUGUCCGAGUAUUAUUUCCUUGAUACCGAGUUGGAUUCUUGUUCGCUGUUGAACUUCUAUUCAGAAUUUCAACUCCGGGCUUUCUUGAACAUUAUUACCAACGAAAUCUAUUCUUCGAAGGUCUAAUUCUAUCUUCUCUCCCUCUAAUGUUACGUAAUUAUGAAUGAUUUGUGUGUUUGACAUGUUUGAAUCUUUGUCUUGUUGGUUAAUGUUGGAUUUGAAUGCGAAAACUUGUUUGGUGGAUUGCGUAUUGAAUUUGUUUAAUCAUGUUGAGAAUGGAUGUGGGGUUGAGAAUUGAAAACCGAUAGGAAAUGAGUGUAUUGGUUCAUAUCGAUUAAUUCAUGUUUAUUUGAUGCACAAUAGGCGUCAAUUUGCUAAGUUUGAUAAUAUCCUAGUAUGCAAAUGCUAAGUCGGGUGGCCAAUUUUAGGAGUGGUAUUUUGUUGAAAGUUUGAAUGUGCGUGUGAACAUUUCUUUAUACUUUAUCGCAUAAGCUUUGAUGAUGUAUUCAUUCACCAGGGAAUGUCAUGAGAUUAUGUUGUACUUAUUCAAUGGGGAAUGUCCCGAAGUAUUUUGUACUCGGAGGACGUCCGUGACAAAGGCUCGAGGCAUCGGGUAAAGUGUUGGAGCGUAGUUUAGGAUUAGUGUAGAUUAACGUAGGUUUACAUUUAUCCAUUUUUCUAUUUUAGGAUUGUAUAAUUGGACUGGACAUUAUAUUUUUUGCAAUUCAUUUUGUUUGUGUUGGUGUGUUUAAUUGUUGUGUGUUUAUGUGGUUUAUACAUUCCGUAGACACUUAAUUUUGUCCCUCCUGAAGUCUAAUUUUAUUCAUUUUUAGUUCACCUUACCAUGUGUCCAACCCCAUGUAAUUAUAUCCCACAAAAAUACAAAAAUAAACAAAAAAACAAUACCUCUAACUAAUUUAUCUUAUCCUAACAACCUACCCAAUCAAAAGCUUCCACCUCCCUAACCACUCACAUUUUUAUCCUCACAAUAACAAACUAAAAAAAAGAAUAUAUGGGGGACCCACCAAAAUUUUCACAUCAUAACAAAUUCAUGCCCAUUAUAAAAGAAAAAUUCUAAGAGGGCAAAAGGGGAGGCUUAUUCUUUGAUCAUCAUCUUCUCCAUAAUAACAACAAUCGCAAAAUAAUCUUCCUCACAAGAACAACAACAACAACAAAAAAAAGGGACGCUGGUGAAUAGUAAUCGGUGAACAGUAACAACGUGAAAAGUGACGGUGAACGGGUCAUUAUUUGUCGAGUUGGAUUAUUGGUGUUAAGGUUCGGCUCGAGGUUUCCGGGUGCGGACUUUCUUUAUUCGAAUAACAUUGAGUUUGAAAGCUUCAAAUUUAAGGUCCAAUUCUUUCUUCUCUUUUAAUUAAUUCUUAUGUGAUUGUGAUUGUGUGUGAUUCGAUACCGUGGUUUGUUUGUUGAUGUGAAUUGUUGGUGACAUUUGGGUGUGUGAUGUGCUAAGCAUGAUUGGUGAAUUUUCGUUAUUCUCGAUUGGUGGAUUGUGUAUUGAAAUGAAUUAAUCACGUGGUUGAAAAUGAAUUAAGGUAGGGAUUAAAAAUGGAGGAAAAUUAACAUUGAUUAAUUUUGAUGUAUUGAUAAUGUUGAACAUGAUAGAAUUGUGAUACGUUGAACUUGGUAGGCAAACGUAGGCCGGGUAGGCAAAUUUAGGAAUAACGAUUUGUUGGAGUGUUUGAAUAUGUGUGUGAAUGGUACUUUCUACUUUAUUGCACGAAAAGGUUAAAUUGUACUCAUUUGGUCGGGGAAUGCCCCGAAGUAGCAUGUACGCAAAGGAGGCUCGUGAUCAAGGCCCGGAACGUUGGGUGGAGUUUAGUUUAGGAUUAGUUUAGAAUAAAAUAAGUUUUAUAUUUCAGCACCUCUUUUAUUUUGAAUUGUAUAAUUUGGACUGAACAUUAUUUUGGUUUGUUUUGAAUUUUGUGUGAUUUGUUUGUUUGCUUGUUUUGUGUGUUUAUGUGGUUUGUACAUUUGUAAUGUCAAAUUAGCCGAUACGAUUCACCAAGCGACCGUGGUCGAAUCACAGGAUCGAGGGGUGCCUAACACCUUCCCCUCGGUCAACAGAAUUCCUUAGCCGGAAUCUCUGUUCGCGGAUCAGUUUUUAGAGUCAAACCGUUUUGAAAAGGAUUUUUCAAAGGUGACUUGACACACCGGAUUAUGUCAAAUGGCGACUUUGAAUAAAAAAAAAAUAGUAAUGUAAAUAAUUCUUUUUUUUUUCAAAACAAAUUUUUCAUUUUUGUCACUUUAAUAAUAAAACCCUUUCGAACUUAAAAUACAUUUCUUUUUUUUGGAGUCGAAAAAGGGGUGUGACAACUCUGGCGACUCUGCUGGGGAACUUGUUCAGAAUUCGAGCUUAUUUUGGAGUCGUAUCGGCUUUGUUUGGCACUAUAGGUGUAUAAACAUUUUUUUUUGUGUGUUGUUUUGUGUUAUUAUUUUAUCAUUAUGGAAUGUUUUCGUGCUAUUUGUAUACAGUGUUUAUCCUAUAUGUUACCGCUUUUAUAUCUGGCAUCAUGUGUCUACCCCCAAGCCUUUUUUCUGCAACAAGUUCGUAGUACACGUGUUGUACACGACCUCUAGUUGAAUCACCCUUAUUUUAGGGGGGGAGCCGUCGGUGUUAUGGAGUAGGUAGAAAGCAAAGCAGUCAUUAUCGACCAUACGCUCUCCCGAACACCCUUGUUAGUAAACCCCAAUGUAGGUCAGCCUUUAGGUCAUGCUUAUGUGCAUCAUAUUGAGACCUAGCGGGGCCCACUUGGUCCUUUGUAGGAGAUUCACCUCUAAAGCAUCUCUACGUGCUAAAUGUUGCAUCUUUGAGAAUAACGUGGUCAUUUGAUGGAUUGAUUUGGGAAAACAUGUGUUAGAAGUAAUAUGUGUGAGUAAUGAAAAAAAAAAUAAGAAAAAAAAAGAGUUUCGUAGCUUUUAGAGUUUUUUAUGACUUUUAUUUUUCAAAAUUCCAAAAUUCAAAAGGACUUUUUUACCUCCCGCACUCAUUUUCUCAAAAAUAUCAAAAAGAUUUUCCUUUGUCUCGUUUAGCAUGCAUUCACAAUUCGAAAACUUCAAAAAGAUUUUUUCAUUCAUAGGAUGUGUUUAUAAAAGAAAAAUUAAAAAAAAAAAAAGAUGUUAGAAAUUUUUUACAUUUCGUAUAACGAAAAUACCAAAAAGAUUUUUCUUUCAUAGUUGUUGAUAUCAUUUUUCUGUGAAGUAUCAAAAUGAAAACUCAAAAGAUUUUAUUAACAUGGUUCAUCGUCUGUCUUUGGUCGUAUCUCUUAAGUCAGGGUCUAGCCUGUUAUUUCAUCAUUAAUUGUCCAAUCUGGAUGAACUACGCACCCCUGAUUCUCCUCUUUUGGGAGUGAGAUACGUAGGCAGCCUAUUGUUGGUUCGGGGAUCUUAUUUGAAAAAUCCAAAAAAUAUUUCUUCACUCUCCAUUUAGAGUAGGCGUUUAAUAUACGUCUUUAAAAGAAAACUACAAAAAGAUUUUCCUUUAAUAGGUUCAAGUUUCAUUUUCACAUGAACUUCAAAAAUCGAAAAUCCAAAAAGAUUUUUCUUUGGUAAUCACAGGUUUUAUUUUUUAUAGAGAUUUAAACCUAAAAAAAAAAAGAUUUUCGUCAAUUCUUUUGACACUUUGUUUCAAGAAAGAAAAAAGAGUUUAAUUGGCCAUUUUGGCAAAACUUCACGAACUACGCACACCUGAUUCUCCCCUUUUGGGGGUGAGAUACAUAGGCACCCUUGUUGGGUUCGGUGAUCUUUUCAAGAAAAAAAAGACGUUUUAAAAAAAAACUGUUGAACUCUUGCAUCACCUGAUUUUCCUCUCUCGGGGGUGAGAUACGUAGGCUGCCUUACUCUGGGCUCGGUCCAACCAAAUAAAUAAUUUAGAAUUGCCCAGUUAAAAGAAAUUGGGGCAUGAGUUAAUACUCAUUGUUUGAGUCAAUUUCAAAAGUUGUAAGUCCCACCCCACUUUAAGUGUCGUUUGGGCCUCAUGCCACCCUUUCUUUCUAACCAUAUCCAAAAGCCAAGUUACAGCCAAAGAAAAACCUUCAAAAUAAAUCUUUGAAAAUGUUAAGGCUAAGCAUGUAAUGGAUGUGAUGAUGCAUUUAGGCACUACUUGUUUUCUGCAGCAUAAGAAAUCAGGAGAGAAAUAAAAAUGAGAGAGUCUUAUUGGUGAAAACCCUCACAGGUACCAUAAGAUGAUGGUAAGUUGAGAGAUAAAAAUGAGAGAGUCUUAUUGAUGAAAACCCUCACGGGAACUGUAAGACGACUGUGAGUUGAGAGAAAUGAAAAUAAGAGAGUCUCGUUAGUGAAAAAAACUCUCGGAUACCGUAAGGCAAUGGUGAGGUGAUAAAAAAGAAAACAAGAGAAGAUUGUUGGCAAAAAUCCUUCAAGGCUCUACUAGCCGAAUGAGGUCUCCGAAUGCAAUUGGCCCAAGGAAGCAUCUCAGUUUCAGGGUCAUUAACUCAACAACAAUUUAUGAGAAUUUUGGAUGGAAAAUCAGGCAGUUUAAUUCGAUAUGCAUGUCAUAAUCAUUAGAGUUGACUGUCAUUUCCAGAUAAACUUUUCUUUUAUCUUUUUCAAAUGUGGACGUUCAUUGUCUUUUCUUUCUUCUAUGCGUUUUUAUUUUAUUUUUUUGAGUUAGUUAUCCAAAUAAAAAAAAUCAUUGUCAUUUUUUCUCUUGUCUUUGAGUCAAGUCCAUAUUAAAACAAGUGAGAAAAGAUUUCAAAACUGGCUCCCAGCUUCUUCAAUUGCACAAAGUAAAACAAAGGGCCAACACAUGAAAUAAACAAGAUUGCAAAUCAGAACAAGACACGCAACAAGUUUUUGUCAACACACAAAUUUGGAGAAUUCAUGGAAAUACUGAAGUUUAAAGGGGAUUGUCUGAGAAACAUAGCAAAGCAGAGAUACUGUUGUUUGUUUCAGAGUCACUCUUAAUAUUUUGAGUGUGAACCAACGGUGCAACAAGGCAAUGGAAAAAGCUAAUGAUGGGAAGCAAGAUCUAAAUGGGAAAAGUGAAAGAGAAAUCUUCUCGAAUGCCAAAGCCGCAUGCCAACCACCCUAUUUUAAACUCACAAGUUUUCUUUGUAUGAAACAAGAACAACUGCUGUCUUCAAAUCGAAGGCUUCAAAUCGCGAAUAUUCAGAUGUGCAAUUCCUCAUUUCUGCAAAUGCAAAAGUAGUGUUGUUGUACAGGUUUGAUAAUCACAAUUUUGGUAAAACUCGUCAUUUUUGUACACCUAAGAGACACAUUCUCUAAUUUGAGUCUUUUAUGUCUCAUGGCUAGAGGGUGAUUUUCAUAAUUUGAGUUGUUAAUCCUAAGAAAUGAACUCUUAGUGAGAAUCUUUCACCUUUACUCUUUAGAGAGGGGCUUGUUGGUUUCAAGCAUUCAACUUUACCCUAAAAAAGGUGCAUUUAUUGAUCAGAAUCUUGAUUUAUCUUUGCAUUAUGCAUUGUCGCAAGUAGUUGUGAUUGCGUUUGACACCCGCAAAAGCUUUUGAUGAUGAACUGGGGUAAAAAGAAAAUUUAAUUCCUGUUAUUUGAAACUUAUGUUCAGGAUCCUCCUGAAAAAUGGGAAUUUACUUUAUGUUCUAAACCCUCCUGGAAAAUGGUAACUUACUUUAUGUUCAGGACUCUCUGAAAAAUUAGAAUUUACUUUAUAUUCGGGACCCUCCUGGAAAAUGAAAAUUUACUUUAUAUUCGGGACCCUCCUGAAAAAUGGAAACUUACUUUAUGUUCAGGACCCUCCUGAAAAAUGAAAAUUUACUUUUUGUUCAGGACCCUCCUGGAAAAUGGAAACUUACUUUAUGUUCAGGACCCUCCUGGAAAAAUAAAAAUUUACUUUGUGUACAGGACCCUCUUGAAAAAUGGAAACUCACAUUAUUUCAGGACCCUCCUGAAAAAUGAGAACAUUAUAUUCAAGACCCUCCUGAAAAAUAAAAAUUUAUAUUAUGUUCAGGACCCUCCUGAAAAAUGGGAGUUUACCUUUAUAUUCACGACCCUCCUGGAAAAUGGGAACUUACUUUCAUCCAGGACCCUCCUGAAAAAUGAAAACUUACUUUAUAUUCAGGACCCUCCUUGAAAAUGGGAAUUUACUUUAUGUUCAGGACCCUCCUGAAAAAUGGAAAUUUAUUUUAUGUGCAGGACCCUCCUGAAAUAUAAAAAUUUACUUUAUGUUCAGACCCUCCUGGAAAAUGGGACAUUAUCUUAUGUUCAGGACUCUCCUGAAAAAUAAGACAUUACUUUAUGUUCAGGACCCUCCUGGAAAAUAGGACAUUACUUUAUGUUCAGGACCCUCCUGGAAAAUGGGACAUUACUUUAUGUUUAGGAUCCGCUUGAAAAAUAGGACACUACUUAAAAAAAAUAAAUGAAUGAAAUCUUUCUUUAUCAUAAUCUUUGUUUGGAAUAAUUUUCGUUCUAGUUUUGAUUUUGAUUUUAGGAGCCCGCCUGAAGAACAAGGUGAUGAAGCUGUAAGUCAGGAGCCCGCCUGAAGAACAGGGUGAUAAAAUUGCAAGUCAGGAGCCCGCCUGAUGAACAGGGUGAUGAAAUUAAAAGUCGGGAGCUCACUCGGAGAACAAAGUGAGAAAAUUCCAAGUCAGGAGCCCGCUUGAAGAACAGGGUGAUGAAAUUAAAGUGUUAUCUCUAAGUGUUAGUUUUGUUCCUCACUAACACGUUGAGUCUAUAUCUAGAUUUGAGCUUUAAAAAUUGAUGUUGUUGUUGUGAACAUAAGACUUGGCUGAAUUAUUGUUGAAACAUUAUUAUGGUGG
RNAcentral lists this long non-coding RNA (7336 nucleotides) under Capsicum annuum. Its description in RNAcentral is "long non-coding RNA (CANN_LNC000058)". Lineage: Eukaryota; Viridiplantae; Streptophyta; Magnoliopsida; Solanales; Solanaceae. The record is from RNAcentral.